AAAAGCGCUGCUCUUUUUGGGCAAAAUUCAGAUAGAAGUUUAACUCUCCAGUUAUGUUUACGCAUAAUGGGCUGAACCUGUUUAGCAAUUUUCUCCAGAAUCUUGUUCGCUUCUUCAUUUUUCGGUUUACGCUUCAAAGCUUUGAUUUCCCAUACCUUAUUAAGAUCGCCCAAAUCAUUCUUCUAAAGCAAACCCUAGAUUUUUCUGAU
RNAcentral lists this unclassified non-coding RNA (209 nucleotides) under Hevea brasiliensis (rubber tree). Lineage: Eukaryota; Viridiplantae; Streptophyta; Magnoliopsida; Malpighiales; Euphorbiaceae. The record is from RNAcentral.